RNAcentral lists this ribosomal RNA (301 nucleotides) under uncultured bacterium. RNAcentral's name for it is "partial 16S ribosomal RNA". It matches the Rfam family "Bacterial small subunit ribosomal RNA", at positions 509 to 807 of the family's 1533-position model. The record is from RNAcentral.
CAGUAGCCGCGGUAAUACAGAGGGUGCGAGCGUUAAUCGGAUUUACUGGGCGUAAAGCGUGCGUAGGCGGCUUUUUAAGUCGGAUGCGAAAUCCCUGAGCUUAACUUAGGAAUUGCAUUCGAUACUGGGAAGCUAGAGUAUGGGAGAGGAUGGUAGAAUUCCAGGUGUAGCGGUGAAAUGCGUAGAGAUCUGGAGGAAUACCGAUGGCGAAGGCAGCCAUCUGGCCUAAUACUGACGCUGAGGUACGAAAGCAUGGGGAGCAAACAGGAUUAGAGACCCCGGUAGUCCCUGUCUCUUAUAC